AAUUGCAGCCACCACAAUGCUCCGAAAAUCUGCAGGUGCCUAGGUCAGCUUCUUGCUCAGAAGUCCUUUGUAGCUCCCUUUGCCUACAGGACUGGAAUGCAGAGUCCCUGGAGGUGGGCACUGUGGGAGCAGGCAGCACAGAGGAACAGUGAGGAUUGGGGCUGAAGCCAGGAGGAAGCUGUGCCCCCAGCAUGACAGAAAGGUCUGGCUGCACGUCCCACUUCUAACCAGCAGAUGGCAAGCGUGUGCUGGUAGUGUUUCUUCUCAAAGGCCUUUGAUUGCUUGACAUGGUCUUCCUUAUGUUCCAAAAGAAGCCAGAACAGAUCACCAUCCUGCAUGUCAACCACCAUUGAACCAUACUAAUCAACUGGGGAGCUGGAGUCAAAUGCAUGCUAGGUGGUCAAGAUACAUGACACUACUGAGGCAGCCCUGCCCAGGCCCUUGUGAGGCAGCCUCUCUCUGCUGGGCUGAGUCUCCAUGGUGGGAGGUGUGCAUCCUCCAAGGUCCCCUUUCCUGUGGCCAUGAGCCCAGGCCUCUGCUCUCCUUUUAUCCCUGUUGCUCCCCAAGCCUCCUGGCUCCCCUUUCCUGGUGCAGAGACCAUGGGAGGUGCUUAACGCCAUCGGGGAGUGCAGAGGGGUUACACGCACUCUCAUGUAGCAUCCUGUUAGCCCCACCAGGGUCAUGACCUCAGAUCACUCACGCCAGACCUCAGGAUGGGCCUCCCCAAGGAUUUUCUCUGCGGGACAUGCAGAGGUGCUGUCUGCAGGAUGGAGGACUGAAACGUGAAAGAGAAAACGCAAAGCACAGCUAUGCUCAGCUCCACCUACUCCCCUCGAUCUCCUCGCCCAACUCUUCGGCCUCCUCUUGUCAGGAAGCUGACUUCAUUGGUCCAUGCCUGCAUGUGCCUGUACUAUGGACUGGCCUGUCAGGCCCAGCAUGCAGUUCUAGCUGUGGUGGAUGUGCCUUCUUACCCUCCUACAGCUGCGGAGAAGACCCCUUUGGCUCCAGGGCCUUUGGCUGAGCCUGGUCCUACUCUUGGCUGCACCAGUAACUUGGUGUCAGACCAUGAACUAGCCCUUCCCAUCACUGGGACUUAGUCUCCCAAUUUUCCAGGGACUCAGUAAACAUCUCAUCAGAUUCUAGAACAACCCUAACUCCCUGACAGAAGGUGGAACCUAGAGCAAAUGCUUUCCAUGCUUGAGACCUUAGUCUCAUCAUUCAUAAAACGAGGGGCUGGGCUAAAUGGCCUUGGAGCACUUCUAUCCUGUGAGCCUGUGAUCACUGAUCCACUGUCCAGGUGCCUGGGUGCCCUGUGGUUUGGGGACCAUCAUAGCCAGAUGGCAGUGACAUCCGAGAUGUCCCUCAGGGGGCCUGGGAUGGGUUGAGACAUCAUCGGCUUAGGGGAAAAUGGGAGCAGGCUUCAUCGAGCUUACCUUCUGAAGAGGAAGACUGAACUGCAGGAGGCCUUCCCUUGCUGGUAGACAGAGGGGUGGCAACUGCCCUCCCCUCUCUCCCAUCUCUGUCCUUAUGCUUUCUCUUCCCCAAGAGUCAGUUUGUGGCCAUUGCUGCCCACUCCUCCUGCCUCUUCACUCAGCGCUCCUUCCCGGAUGGGUUCAGCAUGGCCGUGCUCCUGUUCCUCCUCAGCCUCACUACCCCCUCCCUCAACAGCUACCAGCAGACACACCUGAGGAGAAGCUGACUUACAGGGCAGGAUCCGAGGACUGGAACUAUAGAGCCGACCCCACAGAGACAGCGUGGCUCGCUCCACCAGCGCCGAGCAGGUGCCUGAGCCUGCACUGUGUCCUCGGAUGGAAGGAGGAGAAUGGCCCCCUUCCAGGGUUCAGGAGGACAAAAGCGGAGCCAGCUCCUGAACUCGCUUCUGCAGCAGCACCACCACACGGGCCUGUGACUGUGUGCAUCUCCAUCUGCUACCAGAUGUGAGCCUCUCCAGAGCAGGACUGACUAUUCCCAGUGUCCCACCCUGGCACAGCGCCGCCAUCCGCGUGCGUUUGGAGUCUUGUAUUCCACAGUCAUGACCUCUAGCAAAGGUCGGGCUGAGGGCAUGGGGGAAGUCGAGGCUGGCUGGAUAUGUAACCUUGCAGUGGGAAACGAUGACAGAGUAUCCACGAGUGAGCGUGGGUCUGUGAGACUCAUAGUGUGGCUGUGGAAAUGGUCCCCCGUCUGUUCAUGCACUUAUAUGGUUGCACAAGUCGGUGACUGUGCGUGGGGUGGCGGAGAGGGCUGUGUGUAUAGCUCUACAGACUUGUUUUCCAGUCUGCAUGCACGUUUCCAUUUGAGUCUCUUCUGUGCGUCUCUGAGAGUGCCACACUGCAAAUAAAAGCCACUAGGAUAACACUGCUCCUGUCCCAGGCAGGGGACCCUGAU
This is a long non-coding RNA of Myotis myotis, 2385 nucleotides long. RefSeq lists it as uncharacterized. Lineage: Eukaryota; Metazoa; Chordata; Mammalia; Chiroptera; Vespertilionidae. The transcript is spliced from 3 exons. The record is from RefSeq and is a predicted model, not a curated record.